Long non-coding RNA from Lagopus muta (rock ptarmigan), 251 nucleotides. RefSeq lists it as uncharacterized. Lineage: Eukaryota; Metazoa; Chordata; Aves; Galliformes; Phasianidae. The transcript has 3 exons. The record is from RefSeq and is a predicted model, not a curated record.
GAAAUGGGCAACACCUGGAAAACCUUCUUGAUAGUGAUCUACAGCUAUUUCCUGGAAUGGCUCAGGUAUGAAGGUGUCUGUAUUUUUGUAUGAAUAGACAAAAGAAGAAAGCAGAUCAUUUUUGAUUGCUAUUUUUCACAAGGUCAGAUAACGAAAUACAAGUGUAAAGAAUAAACAAUGUGAUAGUACCAAUUGCAUAUGUGAGCGAAGGUCAACCAACUGAAAGGAAGCAGCUUUCACAACUGGCUGGA